RNAcentral lists this long non-coding RNA (3103 nucleotides) under Ananas comosus (pineapple). Its description in RNAcentral is "long non-coding RNA (ACOM_LNC044846)". Lineage: Eukaryota; Viridiplantae; Streptophyta; Magnoliopsida; Poales; Bromeliaceae. The record is from RNAcentral.
GAUGUAUGCUUAGCAUUGUGAGAUUAUAUAUGCAUAUGAACUUGGUUGAUAACUCUAGCUUGAUUAGAGAGAUAACAUUGGAAAAUGAGAAUUGAUAACUCUAGAAUGAGUAGAAUGCUUAAUUGGACAAUUAGUAUGUGAAUUAGAUCGAGUGGCAUCUAACUUAGUGUUAAGGAACAUAGGUCGUGAGUAGACCUAGAAUCAAAUAGAUCGAGUGGCAUCUAACCUAGUGUUAAUAAACAUAGGUCGUGAAAUGAAAAGUACUUAACCUAGAGUCAAGUGAACCUAGGUUNNNNNNNNNNNNNNNNNNNNNNNNNAAGAGAGAGAUGCUUACAUUCCCUCACCGAUGACGUCGAAAAGAUAUUAAGGUUCAUCUGGAGUAGAAUUGUCAAGAGGACUUUUAAUGAGUUAGACAAGGCUAUGUCGGCUCCUAAUUCUUGCCCUCCCAUUAAAUGGGUAAGGAUUUGUGAUUUUCAGUGAUGCAUCGUACAGUGGUUUAGGUUGCUCGUCAUGAUCAGCAUAAUGUAGGUAUUGUUUUAUUGCUUCUGACAAUUUGCAAGGAUUACGAGAAGAAUUACCCUACCGCACUAGACUGGAGCUUUCCGCAUAGUCUUUGCUUGUGAAGUUGGUGGCGGUAUUACUUUAUUGCGAUCACUGCGAGGUUUCACUGAUCAUAAAAAGCGUUUCAGUCAUCUAUUCACCAAAAGGAGUUGAACCUGAGGCAACGCCGGUGGUUGGAGUUGUUGGAAGGACUAUGAUAAUUAGUAUUAGAUAUCACCCCGGCAAGGCGAAUACGGUGGCAGAGAUGCGUUGAGAAGAAGGUAGUGGGCAAGCUUGAGCAAUGAUUGAUUACUCACAGAGGGCCGUACUUUGGAGAAGCUGCAGGCGGUUGAUGCUCCAAGUAGUGUCCCCUGGGUACUGCAAUACUGAUGGUUUAUGAUUCUUGGAGCACGCACUCUUGUUGUGAUCAGUGAUCAAGGGAGUAAGCAGAGUGGAGAUUCUGCAUUUGUUGAGAAUGUUGAAGCAGUUUGGAGAGGGACAGGCAGAGGUUUUUUCUGUGGACAGUUCGGGAGAGAAUACAAGUACAAGGGACUGACUGUGUAUGAACAUAUCGAACUUCUAAAGUUCAUGAAGUCACGGUGUAUGUGGGCUGGAAAAACUAUUCUGAAUGGUCGCGGUAAGGUUCGGUGAAUGUUCGGAGCUUUUUGGGCUUUUCGUGCGCGUAGGCGGCUGAAAAACUGGAACCCGAAAGCUAGUUGGCCGGAGCUAAUUCGGCAUUAGCGUGGAUGAAAAGAUGAUGGAGACAUGUUCGAAACAUGUUUGGAGAAGUAAUAUAUAUGGAACCCAGAAGGAAUUAUCGAACUUAGCACAAAUUGGCUAAAGCUCGAAUAAGAUGAAUGCGACGAGUUCCAGUUAACGUUCCCAUCAAGGUGGAAGGCAUAAGAUGAUUCUAAAAGAUUAGAAAGGUUUUUAGCGUUGUCCGGCCACGAAAUAGAGUCGAAAACUAAGCUAAAAAACCAAGUCGGCAGCAUUGUGUACCGUAACAAGUGAUUGGUUGUACCUGUACAAGCAAGCAACGCCGAAGAAAUGCUAACUCUCGGAGUUUGAGUGAAAAGACUGUAAAGCCGGUGACCACGGGAAAGUGUACGCGGUACACAUGUUGCAGAAAAUGCAAGAUUUGGUCUGCUGCAAUUAAUAUAUUGAUUGGAGGGGUUUUAUUUUGCAAAUUGUACGCUAAUGUAAGUAAGCCCUAAAACCCCUCUCCCUCACAGCAGAUCUCUGCUCCUCUCUCCCUCCGUGUCUCUCCCUCUUGUUAAGGGUAUCGUGUCUCUCGACUCUCGCUCUCACCUGUUGCAAGAAAAAAGAAGGAAAAAGAAAAAAAGAGAAGGAAAAAGAAAAGAGAUAGGAAAAAAGAAGACAAUGAUGGAGAAAAGAAGCUACCUCGCAUCUUCAGUCUUCCUCAAUGCAUUUGAGAGCCUUGGAAGGUAAGCCAUGCGUCCCCUCUCAUGGUGGAUUAGGGUUAAGGUUUUGGUUUUUAAACCCCUAAUACUAGAGAUUUGGAGCUUCUAGCAUGAUUAAGAUACCAGUGUAAAGACCUAUAGACACAUGAAAUCCAUGGUGUUCUUGUAGUCUCUAAUGGUGGAAUCCUAGGUUUGUUCUAAAUGCCCUAGCGAGUAUGAUUCUAAUGAGAAUAGAAACAUCCAGUUUAGAGAACUUCUUGGGUUGAUCUAAGCUCGAUUAUCUUAGCUAUGAGAUCAAUCCCAGAAAUUGGAUUAUGCAUGUAGGCAUCGAAAUUGGCAGCUUUUUCGCCGGGUGUUUCUAAAGGCAAAUUGGUCCUUGUACGAAACCUAAUUGGGGACCUAACGAAGCGUGAAACGCUCGUUCGGCAAUGCCGACGAGCGUAACCGAAGUUAUUGACGAAACGGUCGGUUUGUACAGAUAGCCGCAGCACAGCGGAAUACAAGGUCUAAAAAUCAUGAGACGGAACUGGAGCACCUUGGAGUCAAGGAAUUAAAUCUCCAGAGGAGACGGAUCGGCCGGUUCGGAGGUUCGUUUGGAAGUCGCCAUGAGUUCGGGCCAACCGGCAACGGUUGCCGCGGAAGCCGAUUGCAAGUGACUAAAACAAGCAAUCGGACCACGGUGUUAAGGGUGGGUUGUUGUACCAAAGCGAUUAGGUCGCCAUUUAUGUGCUAAGAAUUAAGUAAUACCAUGGUAUGCAUAUAAAUGUAGAAUGAAGCAUGUAAAUGAUGCCAUGUACGCUAAAUAAUGCCCUGUUGAUAGUAUGAUGUAAAUGCUAAGUAGAUGCAAUAUAAAUGAUAUAUGAGAUUAUAAACCAUGAUUACAUUCUGAGAUUAUAGAUGCAUGCUUAGCAUUGAGAUUAUAAUGCAUAUGAACUUGGUUGAUAAACUCUAGUUGGAUUAGAGAGAUAACUAUUGGAAAUGAGAAUUGAUAACUCUAGAAAUGAGUAGAACUAAUUGGACAAUUAGUAUGUGAAUUAGAUCGACGUGGCAUCUAACUUAGUGUUAUGGAACAUAGUCUGAGUAGACAACUUAGGAAUCAAAAUAGAUUCGAGUGCAUCUAACCUAGUGUUAAUAAACAUAGU